UUAUUUGAGAGUUUGAUCCUGGCUCAGGAUGAACGCUGGCGGCGUGCCUAACACAUGCAAGUUGAGCGAUUUACUUCGGUAAAGAGCGGCGGACGGGUGAGUAACGCGUGGGUAACCUACCCUGUACACACGGAUAACAUACCGAAAGGUAUGCUAAUACGGGAUAAUAUAUUUGAGAGGCAUCUCUUGAAUAUCAAAGGUGAGCCAGUACAGGAUGGACCCGCGUCUGAUUAGCUAGUUGGUAAGGUAACGGCUUACCAAGGCGACGAUCAGUAGCCGACCUGAGAGGGUGAUCGGCCACAUUGGAACUGAGACACGGUCCAAACUCCUACGGGAGGCAGCAGUGGGGAAUAUUGCACAAUGGGCGAAAGCCUGAUGCAGCAACGCCGCGUGAGUGAUGAAGGCCUUCGGGUCGUAAAACUCUGUCCUCAAGGAAGAUAAUGACGGUACUUGAGGAGGAAGCCCCGGCUAACUACGUGCCAGCAGCCGCGGUAAUACGUAGGGGGCUAGCGUUAUCCGGAUUUACUGGGCGUAAAGGGUGCGUAGGCGGUCUUUCAAGUCAGGAGUGAAAGGCUACGGCUCAACCGUAGUAAGCUCUUGAAACUGGGAGACUUGAGUGCAGGAGAGGAGAGUGGAAUUCCUAGUGUAGCGGUGAAAUGCGUAGAUAUUAGGAGGAACACCAGUUGCGAAGGCGGCUCUCUGGACUGUAACUGACGCUGAGGCACGAAAGCGUGGGGAGCAAACAGGAUUAGAUACCCUGGUAGUCCACGCUGUAAACGAUGAGUACUAGGUGUCGGGG
RNAcentral lists this ribosomal RNA (799 nucleotides) under Clostridioides difficile. RNAcentral describes it as "bacterial SSU rRNA". It matches the Rfam family "Bacterial small subunit ribosomal RNA", at positions 1 to 828 of the family's 1533-position model. Lineage: Bacteria; Bacillati; Bacillota; Clostridia; Peptostreptococcales; Peptostreptococcaceae. The record is from RNAcentral.